This is a non-coding RNA of Oryctolagus cuniculus (rabbit), 3579 nucleotides long. NCBI's taxonomy places the organism in Eukaryota, Metazoa, Chordata, Mammalia, Lagomorpha, Leporidae. The record is from RefSeq and is a predicted model, not a curated record.
CGGCGCUCAGCACUGAGCGAGACCCCGACUCGCGUUCCAGCAGCCUCUGUGUGGCCCGGCGCGCGCCAUAGCUAAACAACAGACAGAAGCAAUCGCCGAGCGACCGCGAUCGAUGCUGCGAGAUCGGGCUGCGAGCCCCGCCUGAUCCGCUCCUGAACUUUUCCUGGAGGCAACAGCAAGAACCUGGGUAUCUGGCAGUGAGCACUUGCUGUCUGGGGCCAGUAUCAUCUCACCCCACACAAAAGAAGGUAAUGCAGGCUCCACAGAGGCCCCAAAGCACGGGGCUCUGGAGGGGGCACGGGAGCCCCACACCUUGCCCUGGGCAACCUUGCACGUGGCCUUCACAGUGAGCCAGUGAACAUGGAGCAAGUGCCUACCUUCCCCCCGGCACCAUGAGCUGCUGGCGCAGUCUGAGAAAAACAACAAAUGGAAUAGAAACAAUGACUUCGAUGACUAUGGGCUUAGCAGAAAUCAUGGAAGAAAGAAGUGGAGUGGCAUCUUUAUAAAGAGCCAAGAAAAAAAGUAACCAGAGGCAAGGAAUUCAGGAACCAGCCACAUAAAGACGCUAUCACACGGUGACAGCUGGGAGAAUGCUGGCCGCCCGAUGGCCCGCCGGAAGGAAAGAGCUCCACAGGAGCCAACUUGGAACUGAAGGAGGGAGUGAAACGUAAUUGGUCGCUGUCACCUCCUCAGUGCUGUAAGCAUUCGCGUGGUCACUGAGGACAAAACUGUAGAGGAUCUGGUGCGGUUUCUCAGAGGACGGAGACGUCAUUCACACGGCGGCCCCAGCAUCCAUGGAGAUGGCCGCGAGGCUUCCACACUGGACUUGAGGGGAUAAGCCAGCAAGUUUAAACAGAGCAUGCAUGGUCCGCUGGCAUCCUUAGAGCAACCUCUUAAAAAAGCCCAGCCCAAAGGCAACCGACAGAACAUUCAAAUCAUUCAAAAAGGAUUCCGCUGAACAGAAAAACAGAAAGAAAACAAAACGGUAGAAAUAAAUCUAAUCCUAUUUACAAUCUUUGUAUAUGGCCUAAAUGAGCCAUGAAAACAAGGGAUUGUUACACUGGAGGGGGGAACAAGACCCAACUGUAUCCUUUCUUUAAGAAAUUCACAUUAAAUACAGAGACACAGAUAGGUGAGAAGUAAAGUGUGGAGACCAGUGGCUUGAAGAGCAGCUCUGGGUUUUCCUCCUUGGGGUACCUGCGAGGAGGGACAAGUGAUGUGGGGCUGUCCUUGAGCCAUCAUGCUCCGACCCUACAGGCAAAGGCAGCCGAGGGGCUGGCUCCCCACCCCCACCACCGCUGUCACUUCUGGGAGAGGCUGUCACACUCACCCCCUGCGGAGCCAUGGACAAGGGGUCUCCUUGCUUCCAAGCUUACUCAGCCUUUGCUGAAAUAAGGAGGGGGGGCUUCCUCGGGGUGUGGGCUCGUGGCAAUGGACUCUGUGCUCUGUGCUUCGGCGUGGAGCUCAUCUUUUUCAUCAUGAACCUGAAGUCAUCACCUGUGUGCGUAGGCGGCUUCCCAAACUCUCCAACCAGGAAGUGAGGGUUGGAAGUCCUGAGAGAGGUAUGAGGGGCUCAGUUUCUGGGGCUCUGUUCCUGCCCCUAUCCUCGGAGCUUCACACGUGCAAAACCCAGCCAUGCGCUGGCAACCAGAGGCUGUUGCCUGGAGCAGCAGAAGAGGUUACAGUUCGAACAUCCGUGCCCGAUCUUUUCACAGAUGAAUGAAAACAGAGGUCAGGCCUAUUUAAGCACAACUGUAGACAUUGCGAUUGCAUAUAUAUCAGACACCAUGCAGGCCAGUCUAUGCCGGAAUUAGUUUCAAGGAUUUCACCAACUGUCCAGUCAUGAGCAAACGCUAUUUUAGAAAACGCCCGACUUCAAAGCCGAAUUUGUGAAUGAAGACUAGCUCAUGUUACUUUCAGCCUCAGGGAGUUAGUGGCCUCGGAUAUGGAUAAUGUUAAGUAGAAAUAAUGUCCAUGUUUCAAGGCAAAGGUUAAGUUACAAAGUCGCCUGCAACUUGUCACUUGCAUUUCAAAGUCAGCUUUCCCUGGGAAAGUUCUGUCUUCCCAGAUUUCAACUGGAAACAUUGCUCCCCACGCCCUCGCGUCUGUUUUCCUCUUCCCCCACAGGAACAGAACCCUCAUUUUCAGCCGGGGUAUUGUGGUUGCCUGGAAUGCACCUCCCCUUGAACCUGCAGUGACCUACUGGAGGCUACUUCUGCCCAGUGCAUUGCAGGAGGAAACACGACAGGGCGGCGUCCUCACACCUUCCUUCAAACACCGCCGUGGGCCGUGGGACAGCCACUGCAGGCACAGUGGGUUAAGCUGCUGCUUGGGACGUCUGCAUCCCGUAUCAGUAUGCCUGGCUCGAGUCCCGGCUACUUCAAGCUUCUGUUUCAACUCGCUGCUAGUGUGCCCAGACAGCUCAUGUACUUGGGCCCCUGCCACCCACACGGGUGACUCCUGGCUUCAGCCUGGCACAAUCCUGGCUGUUGUGGGUAUUUGGAAAGUGAACCAGUGGAUAGGAAACCUGUCUCUCCAGGCCGGUGUUGUGGGAUAGUGGGUUAAGCCACCUCUUGCGAUGCUGGCAUGCCAUAGGGGUGCCAGUUCGAGUCCUGGCUAUUCCACUUCCCACCCAGCUCUCUUGCUAAUGUGCCUGGGAAAGCAGUGGAAGAUGACCCAAGCCCUUGGUCUCCUGUACCCAUGUGGGAGACCUGGAAGAAGCUCCUGGCUCUAGUGUUGCAGUCAUUUGGGGAGCGAACCAGGGGAUGGAAGGAAGAUCUGUCUCCCUCUCUGUAACUUUCAAAUAUAUAAUCUUUUUAAAAAAUCACUGGUGGUGCAUUUGCCCCUUCUUCUUGGUCCCCUCUUUAAUCCAUCCUGUUGCUGGGAAAGUGGGUAUAAAAACAGCUGGGGUUACCAUCCUGAUCACGAAGACUGAGGAAGGAUGCCGGGGCAGGCGGCCAGGCUCCCAAGGGCUGCGUGAAUCACAUCAGCACACCAGCCCUAGGUUUUCCACUUCUGAGCGUCAUCAAGUGUAAGCCAUUGUUAUUUUUGGUUUCUGACACGUGACUGAAUUUAAUCCUUAUUUGGGUCCUAACAACUGAAACCAAGAAACUCUCCCAGAUGAGCCCUGGGGGAGCAGGCGUCUGGCACAGCGGAUGGGACACUGCUCGGCACCUGCAGCCCAUCCGAGUGCCUGGGUUAGAGACCAGCUCCACUCCAGACUUCAGCUUCCUCCUCAUGCGCAUCCUGGGAGGCAGCAGGGAUGGCUCUAGUGGUUGGGUCCCUGCCACGCAGGAGGACCCGGAUUGAGUUCCUGGCUCCUGGCUUUCACCUGGCCCAGUCUGGGGUUACUGUGGGCAGUUGCGGAGUGACUCGGAGGAUGGAAGAUUGCUGUAUCUGUCUUUCAAAUAAAUUAAUAAAUUAAAGAACUUUAGAAAUGAGCCCUUUGAAAAAUGAAGUAGGAAGAAGUUUGUUUUGUAUUAAGGAAAUGGCCGCGCCAAGCGCUCAUCUCCAGCAGGGCGCACAAAGGCCCUCUGUCAGUGGUGAGGGACCCUGGCCCACACUUCGCCGAGCAGGCGU